UACGGGGGGGGCAAGCGUUGUUCGGAAUUACUGGGCGUAAAGGGCUCGUAGGCGGCCAACUAAGUCGGAUGUGAAAUCCCCAGGCUUAACCUGGGAACUGCAUCCGAUACUGGACGGCUUGAAUUCGGGAGAGGGAUGCAGAAUUCCAGGUGUAGCGGUGAAAUGCGUAGAUAUCUGGAGGAAUACCGGUGGCGAAGGCGGCAUCCUGGACCGAGAUUGACGCUGAUGAGCGAAAGCUAGGGGAGCAAACGGG
RNAcentral lists this ribosomal RNA (253 nucleotides) under uncultured bacterium. RNAcentral describes it as "partial 16S ribosomal RNA". It matches the Rfam family "Bacterial small subunit ribosomal RNA", at positions 524 to 776 of the family's 1533-position model. The record is from RNAcentral.